GGUGCGCCGGGGCCCCGAGACUUAUGGGUGGGGUCGGGCACCGCUGCGGGCGGAGCUGGGGGCUGCGGGCUGGGGCCGCUCCGAGGGCAAGAGGGCAGGCGCUGUCCUUGCCAGCCGGCCAGACCUGCCACCCCGGGGUAGCCGGCUCCUGCGGCCCCGACACUCUGCCUGUUAGCAAGGUGGCUCUGCAGACCCGGGGCCUCCCGGGGUGCUGGAGGCCCUGUGGAUGGGUGAGGGUCUCCCUGGGUGCUGGAGGCCCUGUGGAUGGGUGAGGGUCUCCCUGGGUGCUGGGGGGUAUGUGGAUGGGUGAGGGUCUCCCUGGGGUGCUGGAGGCCCUGUGGAUGGGUGAGGGUCUCCCUGGGGUGCUGGAGGCCCUGUGGAUGGGUGGGGGUCUCCCUGGGGUGCUGGAGGCCCUGUGGAUGGGUGGGG
This is a long non-coding RNA of Erinaceus europaeus (western European hedgehog), 429 nucleotides long. RefSeq lists it as uncharacterized. NCBI's taxonomy places the organism in Eukaryota, Metazoa, Chordata, Mammalia, Eulipotyphla, Erinaceidae. The record is from RefSeq and is a predicted model, not a curated record. The transcript has 3 exons.